UAGGGCAUUCUGUUCAUCUUUGUUCUCUUAUGUUUUGGAGGUACUACGCAUGGGAUUAUCGGGUCUUGAAGACAUUUGGGAAGCAUUAUUCAACUGGUGAUCCGAUACCUGAAAACUUGGUAAAAUCGCUACAAGGAGCCAAACGUAUGUUUGCUGCAACCGAAUUACAAGGCCAGGUUUCUGUCCAAGGGUCAAAUUAAUUGACUGUCGAAAUUAUCACGCUACUCAUUAGUAAUUCGAAAACACGUGUUUGACCCAUUGCCUCAUUUGCAGGUCUUCUAUGCGUUGAUUGACCAAGCACUUCACACGGCAAAGCCAUCCUCCGUAGAAGACACAAUUUCGAUAGUGGCAGAUUUGAAAAGAGAGCAUACAAGUUGGAAGUACGUGGAAGGAACACACUGGCAUUCUCGAUUCAGUCAUCUCGUUUCUUACGGUGCAGGUAUGUCUCUGAUUCGAGAGCUACUGCAACAUUCUAACACAAUUAGUCGCUUAAGAGUAAAAUUAUUUUAUCGAAUGGCGAGAUUUUAUUUUUCUUUUAUUCUCCAUUAAUCCGUCAGCACAGGUUACUACAGCUACUUGUAUGCAAAAUGCUUUGCGGCAACAAUAUGGCAAAAGAAAUGCAAGGAAGACCCGUUGUCGGUAGAAGCAGGAUCUGCUCUUAGGUCGAAAUUCUUGCAGUACGGUGGAGCCAAAGAUGCACCAGCUAUAUUGGAUGAUCUUGUUGGGAAUUCUGUGACGAAAAAUCGGAAUGGAGGAAUUGUUCCUGAUAUUACUUGCCUUGGUCAGGAGAUGAAACUAUUCAAAUAGAGCCAGUUAUCUUGAUAAAUCCAAGGAGACAAAAUGAAUCGACGACUAAGUCUCCAGCCAGGUAUGCUGAUUCUUUCGUACCCAUUAGGGUAGAGGCAAUUUCAUUGAUUCAUCGUAUGUGAGUUGUUUUGUUAUUUAAUUUUUUUUCUGAAGAAAAUCCCGAGAGAAGACGUCUAGGCAAAAGUCUGCGUGCACUAGGAGCAUGAAAUUUUCUUAGGAUACAAGUGAUAACUUGAGCCGUUCGAUAAUUAUAUAUUUAUAUUCUCUGAAACUUCCCAUGCACCAACUUACCUCCACUAGUAACGUGAAAUUCCCUUAGAACACAAGUAAUAACUAACUUGGGCCAUUUAAAGCUCAAGACCUGUAUGUAUAAAUACACAAGCUUGUCUACUACAAAUUUCAUCUCUUAUCCUCAUAUAAUAAAUAGUACACAAUGCUCUCUUCUUCCAAUCUUUCCCUCACUCUCUUCCUACUUUUUAACCUAUUCAUCCUCCACCAAUCUCUCGCCGCCACCGAAAAGCAAUGCCACGUGGACGAUGAAAGUGGGUUAUUAGCAUUCAAGUCCGGCAUAAUAUCUGACCAAUCAGGAUCGCUCAACUCAUGGAAGCCCGGUACUGAUUGCUGCAAAUGGGCCGGGAUAAAAUGCAAGCCCGAAUUCAACAACCGUGUCACUGUAAUAGAUCUCUACGGUUGGCCAUCGGACGGCACAAACAUUUUAGCGGGCCCCAUUUCGCCCGCACUCGCGAAACUCCAGUCUUUGGAGUCUCUAAAGUUCGACCAUCUCGGAAACUUAACGGGGCCUUUCCCUGAUUUCCUCCUAUCAAUGCCAAACAUCACCACUAUAAUCCUUUCAGACAACAAAUUAUCCGGUACUAUACCUAGAAACAUAGUUAACCUCCUCAAACUCGAAACUUUGGCUCUUGAUGGGAACCAAUUUUCUGGGACUAUACCGAGCCUGGGCAAAUCGACAAGUUUAUUAUAUCUCAACCUCGGCAAUAAUCGUCUCUCUGGUGGCAUUCCAAUCAGUUUUCGGCGGCUGAGGAAGCUUUCCUGGCUGGAGUUGAGUUCGAACCAGCUCACAGGUAGUAUACCAGAUAUCUUUUCUGGAUUAACCUCUAUUGUAAUUCUUUAUCUCUCGCAUAAUAAAUUCUCCGGGAAUAUUCCGAAAAGCCUAUCGUAUCUUAAACCGAUCAACGUCGACUUGAGCCACAAUGCUUUAAUAGGGCAAAUACCAGACAUCUCGUCAAACAGUUUCAAUGCAAUAAACGGACUUAACCUCUCAUGGAACCAGCUUUCUGGGGUUAUCCCUGAAAAUUUUGCGAAAUUCACCCAAAUAACCCUUCUUGAUUUUUCUCAUAAUAAGCUAAAUGGUUCUUUACCUGAAAUGAGAAUGGCGAGAAGUAUGCACGCUUUGGACUUUUCAUACAACGAUUACCGUUUUGGGAAAAUCCCAAAAUGGAUUGGUAACACAUCGACCAACAUUCUAGGGCUUGCGAAAUGUGGGAUCAAGAUGAAGUUGAAUGAUUGGAAACCGACGGUGAUUUAUGGCAAUGUGUAUCUUUCGGAGAAUGAAUUAACGGGAAACCCACUUCAAUUCUUGAUUAGCCAGAAUACGUAUCUGAUGGGGUUUUGGGCGUUGGGUAAUAAGUUGAAAUUUGAUAUGAAACACUUGAAGCUUGGGAAGAAGAUGGUCAACUUGGAUCUUUCGAACAACUUGGUGUAUGGAAAUGUGCCCAAGACUGUUUCGAGGCUUCAAGAGUUGAACGUCAGCCACAACCAUCUGUGCGGUCAGCUUCCGGCCACAAAGUUUCCGGCAACUGCUUUUCUUGGGAAUGACUGUCUGUGUGGAGCUCCACUACCACCCUGCAAAUCUUAAUCAGCAAAGUUUCUAGGAAAUAAGCUCGUUUGAUUUCCUAGGAUAUUUGUGUUAUUAAGGAUUCCCCUUUACCAUUUGAUUUUUUUCUUGUCUUUUUAUUUAAUCUAGCAAUAAAUCUGUGGAAAACCAAGAAUGUUAUGUACCAUAAUAUAUCGUAUAUGUUUAUUGUCCAUAUUUAUGCAACUGUUUUCAAGGGUCGCCACCCGUUCCUUGAUAAAGUUUAAAGAAAUAGAUUUUGAAGGAUCAGCUCUAAUCAUCUGCUCAAUUUGUUUCUGCACAAAAUAGUUUGACAUUCGUAAUAUAAUAACAAAAAGGCAGAUGAGAUUAACCCGAGUUGACGCAUCUUGACAUAAUUGAUCAUUCUUAACUGUCAAAUCAGAUAUUAAUCGUUCGCAGCAGCCGAUAAUCUUUGGAUCCGGCGCCGGUGCGUACUUCUUAUUGACUUUGACUCUGAAAACCUUCAAUUUUUUUUAUUUUCCUCCGUGUCAUGACGAUAAGGAUGUAAGCGAUGCUUAGUUAUAUCUAUAUUUUAUUAUGAAUGAAAAUAAUAGAAAAAAGGACUUGCAUAAUCUCUAUGCUUUAAACUUGACAGAUCAUGCAAUUAAUUAUUCACCAUGUAAGCAAAAGUCUGCGUGCACUAGAAACGUGCAAUUUUCUUAGAAUACAAGUGACAACUUGAGCCGUUCGAUAAUUAUAUAUUUAUACAUACUCUGCGAAACUUCCCAUGCACCAACGUACCUCCCAUAGUAACGUGAAAUUUUCUUAGGAUACAAGUAAAUAGUAAUAACUAACCUGGGCCAUUUAAAGCUCAAGAGCCUUAUAAAUACCCAAGCUUGGCUAAGGCAAUUUUCACCUCUUGUUUCCUCCUUAUACAAACACAAUGCCCUCUCCUUCCAAUUUUCCCCUCCUUCUUUUCCUACUAUUCAACCUAUUCAUCCACCACCAAUCUCUCGCCGCCACCAAGAAACGAUGCCACGUGGACGACGAAAAGGGUUUACUAGCAUUCAAGUCCGGCAUAAAAUCCGACCAAUCGGGAUUGCUCAACUCAUGGAAGCGUGGUACAGAUUGCUGUAAAUGGUAUGGGAUAACAUGCAAUCCCAAAUCCAGUAACCGUGUCACUGUAAUAGAUCUCUAUGGUUGGCCCUCCGAUGGCACAAACAUCCUAGCGGGCCCCAUUUCGCCCUCACUCUCGAAACUCCACUCCUUGGAGUCUCUCAAGUUCGCCCACCUCGGAAACUUAACAGGCCCCUUCCCUGAUUUCCUCUUAGCUAUGCCAAAUAUCACCACUAUAGUCAUUUCAGAUAGCAAAUUAUCUGGUCCUAUACCUAGAAAUAUAGUCAACCUAGUCAAACUCGAAAGGUUGGAACUUGAGGGGAACCGAUUUACCGGAACUAUACCGAGCCUGGGAAAAUCGACAAGUUUAAUCCAUCUCAACCUCGGAAAUAAUCGUCUCUCCGGUGGCAUUCCGAUCAGUUUCCGGCGGUUGAGGAAGCUUAUCUGGCUGGAGUUGAGCUGGAACCAGCUCACAGGUAGUAUACCAGAUAUCUUUUCUGGAUUAACCUCUGUUGAAAUUCUUUAUCUCCAACAUAAUAAAUUUUCUGGGAAUAUUCCGAAAAGCCUAUCGUAUCUUAAACCAAUCAACGUGGAUCUCAGCCACAAUGCCCUAACAGGGCAGAUACCAGACAUUUCGUCGAACAGGUUCAAUGCAAUAAACGACCUUAACCUUUCGUGGAACCACCUCUCUGGGGUUAUCCCUGAAAAUUUUGCGAAAUUCACUCAAAUCACUGUUCUCGAUUUUUCUCACAAUGAGCUAAACGGUUCUUUACCUGAAAUGAGAUUGGAGAGAAGUAUGUACGCUUUGGAUUUGUCGUACAACAAUUACCAUUUUGGGGAAAUCCCGGAAUGGAUUGGUAAUACAUCGGCGAUGAUUCUAGGGCUUGUGAAAUGCGGGAUCAAGAUGAGGUUGAAUGAUUGGAAACCGA
RNAcentral lists this long non-coding RNA (4665 nucleotides) under Erythranthe guttata (spotted monkey flower). Its description in RNAcentral is "long non-coding RNA (EGUT_LNC002904)". The record is from RNAcentral. Lineage: Eukaryota; Viridiplantae; Streptophyta; Magnoliopsida; Lamiales; Phrymaceae.